This 461-nucleotide long non-coding RNA is filed under the name Anas platyrhynchos platyrhynchos (common mallard). RNAcentral's name for it is "lncRNA (ENSAPLG00000026458.1)". The record is from RNAcentral. Lineage: Eukaryota; Metazoa; Chordata; Aves; Anseriformes; Anatidae.
AUCCUGGCAUUCUAUUUCCUUGAAUAAGACAUACAGAAGUAAGUUAUGAAGUACUGUUAUACCACAGUAAUAAGGAAAAAGGGCAGUGUGGAAGUACAUUGCUUUAAUUAUUUUAGAAUAGCACUGGGAAUUGGGACCAGUGUGUGUUUGGAGAUGUGAGAAUGUGGGCAAUAUCUGCUGCCUGUGUCAAGGCUGACUGAUUUAGACUGGUCUGUCCCAUUUCUAUACAUGAAGAAACCAGCUGGCACAGGAAGACAUGGACAGCAUGUGGUGACAACAGCAUUCAGAGUCAGUACAUGGUGGUUGGGAAGCAUUGGGAGACAACUCUCACAGGCUGAGGGGAAACCUUCCACUGAGUCAGCAGAUCCUGGAUAGAGGCGGAGCACACAACGGACAAAGCAAGGCUAGGAGAGCAGGGUUUGCUCAGAGAAGGCUCAGGUAGGACCUUGUUGCUGUCUACA